CAAUAGCGUAUAUUAAAGUUGUUGCAGUUAAAAGCUCGUAGUUGAAUUUCUAGUCAACCGUUAGCUGGCUUCACAGUCGUUAACGAUUGCCUAUCCGACAUUGAACUGUAAUGGUUAUUAAGUUAACCUUAUAGCGAACUGUCAUUUUACUUUGAAAAAUUAGAGUGUUUCAGGCAGGCAAUUGCCCGAAUAUCUUAGCAUGGAAUAAUGGAAUAGGACUUUGGUUCAUUUGAUUGGUUAUUGAAUCAGAGUAAUGAUUAAUAGGGACAGUUGGGGGCAUCCGUAUUUCGUUGUCAGAGGUGAAAUUCUUGGAUUUACGAAAGACGAACAACUGCGAAAGCACUUGCCAAGAGUGUUUUCAUUAAUCAAGAACGAAAGUUAGAGGAUCGAAGACGAUUAGAU
This 402-nucleotide ribosomal RNA is filed under the name uncultured eukaryote. RNAcentral's name for it is "bacterial SSU rRNA". It matches the Rfam family "Eukaryotic small subunit ribosomal RNA", at positions 592 to 1013 of the family's 1831-position model. The record is from RNAcentral.